CCUACGGGCGGCUGCAGUCGAGAAUCUUCGGCAAUGAGCGCAAGCUUGACCGAGCGACGCCGCGUGCGGGAUGAAGGCCUUCGGGUUGUAAACCGCUUUGGUCCGAAAGAAAGGGGAAAACUUGAUCGAUCGGAGAAACAAGGACGGGCUAAGGGCGGGCCAGCAGCCGCGGUAAGACGAACCGUCCAAACGUUAGUCGGAAUCACUGGGCUUAAAGGGCGCGUAGGCGGCCGAGCGGGUCGUGGGUGAAAUCCCCCAGCUUAACUGGGGCACUGCUUACGAUACCACUGCGGCUCGAGGAAGGAAGGGGCAAUUGGAACUGUCGGUGGAGCGGUGAAAUGCGUUGAUAUCGACAGGAACGCCGGUGGCGAAAGCGACUUGCUGGUCCUUUUCUGACGCUGAGGCGCGAAAGCCAGGGGAGCAAACGGGAUUAGAUACCCGAGUAGUC
RNAcentral lists this ribosomal RNA (448 nucleotides) under uncultured bacterium. RNAcentral's name for it is "partial 16S ribosomal RNA". It matches the Rfam family "Bacterial small subunit ribosomal RNA", at positions 338 to 795 of the family's 1533-position model. The record is from RNAcentral.